CAGGAGAGACCACUGAACAUGAGCAAUAUUGGUAUGUGUUGGUCCUUGGAUUAACUGACAAUGCAGGGUGACAUCAUCUCCAACGUAUCCAGUCACUUCAGUCCAGCUUUGUCGAGCCAAUUGUAGGAUUUGGGAUGUCUGCUCCUUGCGGCUGUUCAUCUUAUAGUCAAGCAUCACUGGGUAGAUGAGCUGGUUUGUUUCAAUUACAGCUUCAAAACAGACAUUACAACCUGGGCUGAAGUACAUUAUUUUUGUCUAUCAACUGUUACCAGUCAGGAUAACUGGUGGAAUCCUACCAGAAGCCAGAAAAAUCACUCGCUGUCUGACUGGUUGUGCUGAUCUGGAUCCUGGAGUUCACACUGGGAGGCUCACCAUCCGGUGGAUUCACUGGACCUUUUUCCAAUGACCUCAUAGCUCAAUAAAAGACCUGAUCCAGUCAUGUGAAACACCCUUAAUUUAGCUGGCACUAAUUUUGAUUUCAGCAGCUCUCCCUAACAUUCAUCUCACCAUUGAGAUAUUGGCCAAUUACUUCUGGAACAUUUUUUUUUUUUAACAACUUUUAUGAAGAUUUGCUUCAGUAACCAAGACAGUUUCUGCUGCUAAUUAAGAUAUCAUCGGCUUUUCUUUUUUUCCAGUUACUCGUGGCAACACGGCAUGUUAACGCACAACCUCCUGUAGAUCUUCAAAAUAAAAGCUCCUGCUAGUCACAGUAAGAAGUGUAAAACUUUUUUUUUUCCAACCAUCACUUAUUGUAACAAUAAAAUAA
Molecule: long non-coding RNA, 766 nt
Organism: Oreochromis aureus
Lineage: Eukaryota; Metazoa; Chordata; Actinopteri; Cichliformes; Cichlidae
Source: Ensembl